RNAcentral lists this ribosomal RNA (253 nucleotides) under uncultured bacterium. Its description in RNAcentral is "partial 16S ribosomal RNA". It matches the Rfam family "Bacterial small subunit ribosomal RNA", at positions 524 to 776 of the family's 1533-position model. The record is from RNAcentral.
UACGGAGGGAGCUAGCGUUAUUCGGAAUUACUGGGCGUAAAGCGCACGUAGGCGGUUUUGUAAGCCAGAUGUGAAAUCCCCGGGCUCAACCUGGGAACUGCAUUUGGGACUACAAGGCUAGAGUGUGUCAGAGGGGGGUAGAAUUCCACGUGUAGCAGUGAAAUGCGUAGAGAUGUGGAGGAAUACCGAUGGCGAAGGCAGCCCCCUGGGAUAACACUGACGCUCAUGCACGAAAGCGUGGGGAGCAAACAGG